UAAGGGAGCUACCAUUUGAUUUUUAUGGGGGGGGGGGGGGGGGGCUAGGAUGAAAAUUUUGUCCUGCAUUUUUUUUUUUAGCUGUAAUCUCUGUCCUGCCUUUUUAUUUUUCACUCUGUUCGGUCCUGCCUUUUUUUUUUUUUAGUUUAUCCUGACUAUUUUUACCUAAAUUGUCGUCCUGACUUUUUUUUUUGCAGUGUCUCAUCCUGCCUUUUUUUUUUACUCAAAACUCCUGUCCUUCCUAUUUUUUUCAAAUUUCAUCCUAGCCCCCCCCCCCCCCCCC
RNAcentral lists this long non-coding RNA (283 nucleotides) under Mytilus galloprovincialis (Mediterranean mussel). Lineage: Eukaryota; Metazoa; Mollusca; Bivalvia; Mytilida; Mytilidae. The record is from RNAcentral.